Molecule: long non-coding RNA, 473 nt
Filed under: Cyanistes caeruleus (blue tit)
Lineage: Eukaryota; Metazoa; Chordata; Aves; Passeriformes; Paridae
Description: lncRNA (ENSCCEG00000009130.1)
Source: RNAcentral
UACAUUUGCAAGUCCUUUCAUCCAAGGCUCUUGGAGCAAUUAAUAAACACUGCUGCACUGCUGCAACAGAAGAAACAGUUGCUGCAAGAAAUUCUCAGUGAUACUUCUGGAGGGCUUGAAGAACUGUUUGAACUGUCAUGAGGCUGGUACAACUGAGGGCUGGAUGUGAUAUGGAAGGCCAGUGGUGACAGAGGCAAUGCUACAACAUGGGUGUCUGACCACUGGACUCCUGGAAGAAGCACCAUCAUCCCUUCUGUGAAUUAUGAUUGGCAAAAUUCUUCAUCUUGGGAAAGAUCUGAAUGCACAUAGCAACUUGAGUAGACCUCAUUUAUCCUAUUCAAAAAUGCAAGUACUUUAAUUACAACACUGCCUUUCUCCUCAAAUCAUUUUAAUGUGAUAGAAUUUCAAUUUGUGUAGUCUUUCCUCAUAUUAUAGAUAUUUUUAAUCUGAGGUUCAGCUUGUUAGCAUCUGUA